CCUACGGGAGACAGCAGUGGGGAAUAUUGCACAAUGGGGGAAACCCUGAUGCAGCGACGCCGCGUGAGUGAAGAAGUAUUUCGGUAUGUAAAGCUCUAUCAGCAGGGAAGAAAAUGACGGUACCUGACUAAGAAGCCCCGGCUAACUACGUGCCAGCAGCCGCGGUAAUACGUAGGGGGCAAGCGUUAUCCGGAUUUACUGGGUGUAAAGGGAGCGUAGACGGCGCGGCAAGUCUGAAGUGAAAGGCAGGGGCUUAACCCCUGAACUGCUUUGGAAACUGUUUUUCUUGAGUAUCGGAGAGGUAAUCGGAAUUCCUAGUGUAGCGGUGAAAUGCGUAGAUAUUAGGAAGAACACCAGGGGCGAAGGCGGAUUACUGGACGACAACUGACGGUGAGGCGCGAAAGCGUGGGGAGCAAACAGGAUUAGAUACCCGAGUAGUC
RNAcentral lists this ribosomal RNA (440 nucleotides) under uncultured bacterium. RNAcentral's name for it is "partial 16S ribosomal RNA". It matches the Rfam family "Bacterial small subunit ribosomal RNA", at positions 338 to 795 of the family's 1533-position model. The record is from RNAcentral.